GAAGUGCGAUAAGCAAUGCGAAUUGCAGAAUUCCGCGAAUCAUCAGAUCUUUGAACGCAAAUGGCGCCAGAGGGAUAUCCUUCUGGCAUGUCUGUUUCAGUGUCUGAGAGGUUACACCCUAAUCUUAAUGUGAUUGAACGUAGGUAGUUGUUGUAUAGUAAUAUACAAUUGCUGCCAGCAAGUUCUCUCAUGAAAUAUGCGUGAGUGGAUCUUUCGGUCCAAUGAAGUGGUCACAUCACUCGAAUGUGAUUUCAUUGGAAGCACCGAAUUAUCAUUAACUAACUCAUGGUAUCUUAUGUAUUAGGAAGUAUUAUUUUACGAUAAUACCCCUAACACAACUCUACAACCUGCAUCUGAGAUAGGCAAGAUCACCCGCUGAACUUAA
Molecule: unclassified non-coding RNA, 385 nt
Filed under: uncultured fungus
Lineage: Eukaryota; Fungi
Description: sequence contains ITS1
Rfam family: 5.8S ribosomal RNA (bases 1-105)
Source: RNAcentral